RNAcentral lists this ribosomal RNA (163 nucleotides) under uncultured bacterium. RNAcentral describes it as "partial 16S ribosomal RNA". It matches the Rfam family "Bacterial small subunit ribosomal RNA", at positions 355 to 509 of the family's 1533-position model. The record is from RNAcentral.
UAGGGAAUUUUCGUCAAUGGGCGCAAGCCUGAACGAGCGAUGCCGCGUGAGUGAAGAAGGCCUUCGGGUCGUAAAGCUCUGUUGCGGGGGAAAAAAGGCUAGCAUCAGGAAAUGGGUGCUGACUGAUGGUGCCCCGCCAGAAAGUCACGGCUAACUACGUGCC